UCAGAUGGCCGGAUGACUGCUGCUACAAUUGGGAAACCUAGUAGGGGAGGAAAGUCCGGGCUCCACAGGAUCAGGAUGCCGGGUAACGCCCGGCGGGGGCAACCCUAGGGAAAGUGCCGCAGAAAAUAUACCGCCUUCAUUUUGAAGGUAAGGGUGAAAUGGUGCGGUAAGAGCGCACCGCCGAACUGGUAACAGGACGGGCAAGGUAAACCCCAUCCGGAGCAAGACCAUGUAGGGACACGUGCCGCAUUUCGGUGCGGCUGGUGCGGUCCUGCACCGAUGUCCGGGUAGGUCGCUAAAAGCGGUUGGUAACAGCCCGCCAUAGAUGAAUAGUCAUCACCAUAUUUCGAUAUGGUACAGAACCCGGCUUACAGGCCAUCUGACAGC
This 387-nucleotide RNase P RNA is filed under the name Alphaproteobacteria bacterium. Its description in RNAcentral is "RNase P RNA component class A". It matches the Rfam family "Bacterial RNase P class A". Rfam says of the family: Ribonuclease P (RNase P) is a ubiquitous endoribonuclease, found in archaea, bacteria and eukarya as well as chloroplasts and mitochondria. Its best characterised activity is the generation of mature 5'-ends of tRNAs by cleaving the 5'-leader elements of precursor-tRNAs. Lineage: Bacteria; Pseudomonadati; Pseudomonadota; Alphaproteobacteria. The record is from RNAcentral.